GGGUUGUGAGGUUAAGCGACUAAGCGUACACGGUGGAUGCCCUGGCAGUCAGAGGCGAUGAAGGGCGUGCUAAUCUGCGAUAAGCGCCGGUAAGGUGAUAUGAACCGUUAUAACCGGCGAUACCCGAAUGGGGAAACCCAGUGUGACUCGUCACACUAUCAUUAACUGAAUCCAUAGGUUAAUGAGGCGAACCGGGGGAACUGAAACAUCUAAGUACCCCGAGGAAA
Molecule: ribosomal RNA, 227 nt
Filed under: Salmonella enterica subsp. enterica serovar Potsdam
Lineage: Bacteria; Pseudomonadati; Pseudomonadota; Gammaproteobacteria; Enterobacterales; Enterobacteriaceae
Also listed under: 1 other name
Description: partial 23S ribosomal RNA
Rfam family: Bacterial large subunit ribosomal RNA
Source: RNAcentral